RNAcentral lists this transfer RNA (64 nucleotides) under Semele scabra. Its description in RNAcentral is "tRNA-Gly". Lineage: Eukaryota; Metazoa; Mollusca; Bivalvia; Cardiida; Semelidae. The record is from RNAcentral.
GCGCUAUUAGUAUAAUAAAGUAUGGUUGCCUUCCACGCAAUUGGUUAAGUGGUUUAAUAGCGUA